CCUUCGAUAGCUCAGUUGGUAGAGCGGUGGACUGUAGACAGCGAUAGCGUGCGCGCACCAUCAGCAGAAGUAAUCCAUAGGUCACUGGUUCAAAUCCGGUUCGAAGGA
This is a non-coding RNA of Anopheles merus, 108 nucleotides long. Lineage: Eukaryota; Metazoa; Arthropoda; Insecta; Diptera; Culicidae. The record is from Rfam.